AUACGGAGGAUGCGAGCGUUAUCCGGAUUUAUUGGGUUUAAAGGGUGCGCAGGCGGGCGAUUAAGUCAGCGGUGAAAGGCUCGGGCUCAACCGGAGCAGUGCCGUUGAUACUGGUUGUCUUGAAUGCGGUCAAGGCCGGCGGAAUGUGGCGUGUAGCGGUGAAAUGCAUAGAUAUGCCACAGAACACCGAUAGCGAAGGCAGGUGGCCGGGCCUGCAUUGACGCUGAGGCACGAAAGCGUGGGGAUCGAACAGGAUUAGAUACCCUGGUAGACCACGCUGUAAACGAUGGACACUCGUUGUCGGCGACAGACAGUCGGCGGCCAAGCGAAAGUGAUAAGUGUCCCACCUGGGGAGUACGGUCGCAAGGCUGAAACUCAAAUGAAUUGACGGGG
Molecule: ribosomal RNA, 393 nt
Filed under: uncultured bacterium
Lineage: Bacteria
Description: partial 16S ribosomal RNA
Rfam family: Bacterial small subunit ribosomal RNA
Source: RNAcentral